Long non-coding RNA from Xiphophorus couchianus (Monterrey platyfish), 2031 nucleotides. RefSeq lists it as uncharacterized. The transcript is spliced from 2 exons. NCBI's taxonomy places the organism in Eukaryota, Metazoa, Chordata, Actinopteri, Cyprinodontiformes, Poeciliidae. The record is from RefSeq and is a predicted model, not a curated record.
CACACACACACACACACACACACACACGCCCACACACACAGGGGCAGGUGGGUUACUGCAGCCAUGACCGUCUGUCUCACCUGAGACAUGGCAACUUGUUGCCUGUUGUUCCUUUUGAAGACUCUUUCCAGCUAACGGAUGGAUUACACCGCUGGAACGGUGCUGGUGACUCAUGUUGGGGAAGGAGGAUGAAGGAAAAUCAAACCAGAUGUUAAAGUUUUAGUGAACAGAGAGACAAAGAGGAUUGUUUUUCACCUGGACGCCCCAUUUACUUCUAUUUAGGGCUGAGACUUUAAUGCGUUCUUUUCAACUACGUACAUAGGUUUAUACAUGUCGAACAUUUUAACGCAAUUAAUCUGAUUGUCUUUUCUUUUACGUAAAAAUCCAGAGCCAGAACCUUUGUAUUUGCGUGUUUCUGAUACGCCCGUAAAUCUGAUGCACAGACAAAAGUGAUGGAAGACAAAGCCGCUUUUCUUAGCCCACAGGAGGCUCAUUUUUACUUCAAAAACAUGAUCUGAUUGUACGUUGGAAAAGGCUCCUGUUAUGUUCAAGUCGUGCUAAAAGCAGUUAGCUUAUACCUGAAGCUAUUCAGCUCUAAAAUAGCAUCUCAAUGCUAACCACGUAGCAUUGAGAUGUCCCUAACGCUAACCUGGCACACGUGGCUAAUGUUGCUAACGUCACUAAGCAACUAACGCUUUGAAGAAACACGGUCACUGUUGACAAGGUUUCUGAAACACUAUGAACUAAGAGAGCGAUGCAGAUGGCAAAGUCUUCCAUUUUUUGUUUUUAUUAUGUUGUUCCUUUAUUAUUUAUAUUUGUUUACCUUGUGGAAUAAGUCGUCAAAUGUAUCACUUGUUUUGGGUUAGAAAAAUUCAAUAAAUAUAAUGUUUACCAAAAAAAAAAGAAUCUACCGUUGCUAAAGUUGCUGACAGUCCACAUUUCUAAAGUAGUUUUUGGAUGACCCAAACAGCAGAUGUAAAGCCAUAUAAACAUGUCUAUUUAUUCAAUAAUUAUGCAGCAAAAAAGGCUUUUAAAAUUGUGAACACUGCUUAUUUUGUCGUCAAGGUUUUUUGGAGAAAUGCAUUUAAUUAGCUAUCCUACAAUUAGCUCGAUUAAAAAUUUGAAUCGAGUCCCAACCCUACUUCCGUUAUUAGUUUUGUGUGUGUGUGUUUUAAUCUCUCAGGAAGGAAAAAAAAAACACAACACAACCCCACUACCCUCAUCAUCUGCUCGUUAGCUCACAGGGUCAGGUAUGUAUGUGGACCAGCGAGUCGCUACCGUGUUUCACACACACGCCUCCCCACCGGUUCCUUUUAUUUUGAUCUGGCGCUGCUAUUGUUAUGACAGGAGAAUCCCCUGAAGGGAUUCUUACUGCUCUUCGUCAGUACCUGAAACACUAAAACAAACAAACUGAAGCACAUUGAGGAGGAGGGGGGAGAAAAUAAAAUCUGCGCUAUGUAAGGGGCAAUGAUAGAUAUGCUUGAAUGGAUGAAUAAUGGAUUCCAUAUUUCAUUUCGGAAAAGGAGGGACAGAUGGAGAGAGGGCGAUGGCGAGCGCGAUGGAGACGAUGAUGGCCGGGAAGAGACGGGGAAGUGAGAGGCAGGUGGGCCGGUGGCGAGGACACGAAUACAACCAGGAUGAAGGAAGGACUGUAUCUGUGGGGACAGACACGGUCAGAUUAAAAACUGUUAAGGACCGAAGAGCUAAAACGUGAUGUGGAGGCUCUCGCUACUGCAAGUUGAGCAACGAGGGGGAAAAAAAAUAAUAAAAUCUGCCUCACAGAAUGCAUCAAAAAAAAGACGCCCAGGAAUGAAAUUAUUCCCGAGCAGAAACUUUCAGACGCAGAUUUGGCCGAGCACAGAACGAAUCGACCGGCUUCAAGGACGGACCGCGGAGCCGAACCCGCGGCUCGCGGCUCCAAUUUUGGCUGCUUCAAACACGGACGCCUCUGGUCGCUUUUCAGCUGCCAAUUUAAAUGGCUGCUGCCCGAGGUUUUCAAAGCAAAAGCUCCCUUAAAAAAAAAAAAAAAAA